Molecule: ribosomal RNA, 324 nt
Filed under: uncultured eukaryote
Lineage: Eukaryota
Description: partial 18S ribosomal RNA
Rfam family: Eukaryotic small subunit ribosomal RNA
Source: RNAcentral
CCCUUAGAUGCUCUGGGCCGCACGCGCGCUACACUGGUCGAUGCAACGAGUUUCUUUCCUUGGCCGACAGGCCUGGGCAAUCUUUGAACAUCGAGCGUGAUCGGGAUAGAUUCUUGUAAUUUUUGAUCUUAAACGAGGAAUUCCUAGUAAACGCAAGUCAUCAGCUUGCAUUGAUUACGUCCCUGCCCUUUGUACACACCGCCCGUCGCACCUACCGAUUGAAUGGUCCGGUGAAAUCUCCGGACUGGCGUGAGUCGGAGCAAUCUGACAAACGCCGGAAAGUUGAUUAAACCUUACCAUUUAGAGGAAGGUGAAGUCGUAACA